UAAUGCUGAUGGAUGCUCA
RNAcentral lists this non-coding RNA (19 nucleotides) under Mus musculus (house mouse). The record is from RNAcentral. Lineage: Eukaryota; Metazoa; Chordata; Mammalia; Rodentia; Muridae.